CCUACGGGCGGCAGCAGUGGGGGAUAUUGCACAAUGGGGGGAACCCUGAUGCAGCGACGCCGCGUGGGUGAAGGAGCGUUUCGGCGCGUAAAGCCCUAUCGGCAGGGAAGAAGGAGGACGGUACCUGACUAAGAAGCCCCGGCUCACUACGUGCCAGCAGCCGCGGUAAUACGUAGGGGGCAAGCGUUAUCCGGAUUUACUGGGUGUAAAGGGGGCGCAGACGGCAGCGCAAGCCAGGAGUGAAAGCCCGGGGCGCAACCCCGGGACUGGUCUUGGAACUGCGCGGCUGGAGUGCAGGAGGGGCAGGCGGAAUUCCUGGGGUAGCGGGGAAAUGCGUAGAUAUCAGGAGGAACACCAGUGGCGAAGGCGGCUUACUGGACUGUAACUGACGUUGAGGCUCGAAAGCGUGGGGAGCAAACAGGAUUAGAUACCCUAGUAGUC
RNAcentral lists this ribosomal RNA (441 nucleotides) under uncultured bacterium. Its description in RNAcentral is "partial 16S ribosomal RNA". It matches the Rfam family "Bacterial small subunit ribosomal RNA", at positions 338 to 795 of the family's 1533-position model. The record is from RNAcentral.